This 3212-nucleotide long non-coding RNA is filed under the name Solanum tuberosum (potato). Its description in RNAcentral is "long non-coding RNA (STUB_LNC007394)". The record is from RNAcentral. Lineage: Eukaryota; Viridiplantae; Streptophyta; Magnoliopsida; Solanales; Solanaceae.
AGAAUGUGAAAAGAAGAGGUAAGCAAAGAUAAUAGCUGUAGAUAGAGAUACACAAGUGACGAGAAUUAGAGGUGUGAAAAUUACGGAAGAGAAAGGUGGUUUUGGGGGAAUAGAUGUGGAACAGUCAUCUGUGUCAAAAGAAAGCAAUGAAGUGGAGGAAAUGGGUGGGUCUUCGUCCUCCUCCUUUGUGGGUACAGCCAUAGGCUUGAAGGAGAUCGAAUCCGAAUUCAUCAUCCACAGGUAUAUUUCAGAGCAUUGAAAAUUGCAAUCAAAAUACAGAGAAUUGAAAGGGUGUAGCCAGGUUGUAUCGAAAAUUGAUCAAAACAAUUCCUUCGUCAACAGUUGAUCUAUAUACUGGAAAAUGGAACGAUGGAUUAGUUGAAAGACAGACGGAAUUACCAAUUCAGAUGCUGGACUUCUACCCAAAGAUCAAUUUCGUGCUCAGAUUCCUAUUUGCCUAUAACGAUAUGUCUUAUAUCUGUUUGCUUAAAUUUCUAAAACUUAUUUUGAAAUAUGUGUUUUUGGCAAGUACUAAUUUGUAUUUGGUCCAAUAAUUUAAAAAAUAUAUUGAUAAUGUGAUUCGUCUUUGACUAAUAUAUUUUUAAAAAAUGCCUUUUAGAGAAAAAACUACUUCCUUCCUACUAUUUUAUUUGUACACAAUUUUAGAAAAUGUUCCAAAAUAUUUUGACCAACCAAACGUGAGGAAAUUGGAAAUACCAAAACACUCUUAGUGAUCCAAAAUUAUCAUUCCUCACCUCCAUAGUGCCUGUAAUAACAUCUGUUUAGCCAAGGAAGUAGAGCAACUAACAGACACGGAACAAAACACAAAGAACAUUUUUCAUAUCCAAUCAAGAAAGAAAAAUGUGAAAUAAUUAUCAAACUCUACAAGUUCACAAACACCGAAAGGUCUAUCUUGCCAAAGAAACAACCUAUCGUGAUAGUCAAGAAGAAGAAGAAGUGAGCAUGUUUGUACACCAACAGCAGGCAAUUUCGGUUUGGCUAUGCUUUAUGAAAACAACUUUGAGAUCAAGUAUGACAUUAACAUGUAUCUCCAAAAAGUUCUGCAACAAAGAGAAACAAUCGAAGGUAGAUUUUCAACCGCAAGUCCAAACAUAUAAAGAUAUAUUAUUAUCAUGAAAAAAAAUGCACCAAUAACAACAAUUACCAUCAGAGGCUACUGCCUUGAUGAUGCAACAAAGGGAACAACAAAAAUGACAACAUAAACUAGAUAUAAGUUUAACAAGCUCAACCCUUGAUCAAGAGCACGGGCUAUGGUGUCAAUGACCUUAAUGUUCUUACUACCAAUCAUACAUGGCAAACAGAUACUUGACUUUUGGUUUUUCUAUUCUACUCCCCAAGUUCUUCCCUCGUCAAUAUAAUAAGGGGACGCAGGAGAUUGUACAAUUCUUGAAUCCACAAAUAUAAGGAGAUGAUAGAUAACAUAAUACAUGCCAGGAAAAUGGAGUAAAAGGUAGAAUAUGGAUACGGUCAACAAAUAUAUUGAACAUUAUUCAUUUUCUAUCUAAUUUACUAAUCUUAAAAUAAGCCAGCAACAAAAUAGAAGUUGCAACACCUAAUAGACUAUAAAUCUGGACGCCGACAAAAGUGAAGUGAUGCCACGAGGUACAGAGGUGCAUAACCUACAGCACUAGAUCAUCACCUUGAAUCAACUUGACAAUAUUUUGUAAUUGUUAAGAGAAGCAUAUAAAAAUCAUAUGAUGAUCUCUCACCUCUGGUAGCAUAGAGAAUAUAUUCAUAACUAGCUAUAACUCAGUGGCUGGGUAAGAGAAUCGUGUCUGGAAAUGAUGUUGUCCCGUUAUUGGAUGCUCCUUGUAAAUUAAGGAUUUUGGUAACCAGGUUGUAAAUCUGAACAUUCUCAAAAGAUGGGACUUUACGGCCACUAGCAAACUUAGGACCAUGGCCAAUGAAAAUGGUCCUCAUUGAGAAGAAUGCAUUGUCAUAACCAUGAGAUCCACCACAUUCAAACCUUUUUAAGCUCUUCUGUUCGACCUUAAAUGCUUCAUCAAUCAACCCAAUGAUGGGUGGUAUUCGAUCACUCGCAGAAUAAUGCAGCCGAUCAGGCAGUUCCUCCUUUAGAUAGACUUUCAAAUACUGCCCAUUGUUAACCUUCCCUGACUUUAAGCCCUCAUUCAUCUUGGUAACGACAUCCUUGGCAGAGUAACUUGGUGGUGGACGAAUGGAAAGCAAUGGACUAUAUGACUGUAUCCAAUCCUUUGGAAUUUCAAUCCAUGGAGCCAAAUCCUCCAAGAAAAUUAACUUUCUAUCGCAGGUGCCAACCAUACCAUGAUCACCAACCAUUAUAAUAUUCACAUCCUCAAAAACCCCUCUUGCUUCUAAACCUUGGAUCAACUUCCCAAUCAUCCCAUCAACUCUUGCAAUGGCUUCAGUGAUUUGAGGAUCAUCAGGUCCAACUUUGUGACCCUGAUGAUCAGGGUCUUCAAAAUAGAGUGUCAUAAACGACGGAAUUUCAUCAUUUGGCAAAUCAAAAUAUUUCAAAACAGUAUCAACUCGUUCUUCAAAUGGCACAGAACCAUUAUACCUCUUACAAAGAGACUCUGGACAAGUCCAGCCUCCUUUAUUUACCUCAGAUCCAGGCCAGAAAUAAGUAGCAGCCUUAAGACCAUGAUUGACUACAGUCUCCCAAAGCGGCUCACCGAGCCACCACUUAGGAUCAUGACUCCCCAUAUUGAAAUGCUCUCCAGUAAUCGGAUCAAGGAAAUAGUUAUUUAUAAUACCAUGAUAAGCAGGGUACAAACCGGUAACAAUAGCAUAAUGAUUAGGAAAAGUCAAAGUUGGGAAUACAGGAAUUAAACCCAGUUCAGCUUCUGUCCCAUUCCUAAUCAACCUAUCCAUAUUUGGGGUAUCCGUCUUGUACUGAUACCCAAAGCGAAACCCAUCAGAUGAAAUCAAGAGAACAACAGGAUGUUUGAGUUUUUGAAGUGGGCGAGAUACAUGCGAAAUAGAGGAGAUAGAAGAAUGUGAAAAGAAGAGGAAAGCAAAGGUAAUAGCUGUAGAUAGAGAUACACAAGUGGCGAGAAUCAGAGCAGUGAAAAUUACCGAAUUGAAAGGAAUUUUUGUAGGAGACGAUGGGGAACAGUCAUCUGUGUCAAAAGAAAGCAAUGAAGUGGAGGAAAUAGGUGGGUCUUCAUCCUCUUUUGUUGGCACAGCCAUAGGCUUGAAGGAGACUGAAU